Molecule: long non-coding RNA, 949 nt
Filed under: Struthio camelus australis
Lineage: Eukaryota; Metazoa; Chordata; Aves; Struthioniformes; Struthionidae
Description: lncRNA (ENSSCUG00000012161.1)
Source: RNAcentral
ACCUGCUUUGUCCUAUGUUUAUCUCCACGUGCUGACCGCAGCUCACGGAGCUACUUCUGAGCAGCUGGCCUGAGAUCUGCCAGCCCUGUAACCAUGGCAGCAUAUGUUCAAGUUGUCAUUCAGUGCUCCCAGUGCUGUCGCAGACCCAUGCUGUGGGAACAGCUGUUCCCAAAUCAUGGGUCAAGCCUGGUUUUGGUGGAAAGCAUGGAAUCAAGACUUGGAAAAUUGGGGAAAUGAUUGCAGGGAUCAAAAAGAGGGAAUAAGAAUGAAGACUUCUAAUAAACUACAGACUGAACUGGAAAACUGGUUUAAAAGUGCAGGAGAGAAAGUACAUCCAUUUCCAAGAACCGAACACAGGACUCCUGCUGAGUUGCAAGACUCUGCUCCUCACGCAGACAUAAGAUGUCUCGUUGGUGCCUGGCCGACCUGUAGUGGAAAUGUGGUCGCUGGUGUCGGACGCCUCCUUCAUGUCUUCAAUGCACAGAAUUGAUGACCUUUAGUUUGGGAAGCUUCAGGUGUUUUGGCUUAAGCUGUUGUAAAUCUUCCUUUCAAUCCAGAGUUUAAUUUUCAGUCUUCUACGCAAUAUGGCAGCCAUCCCAUAAACCUUGAUGCACCAUUUCAUGUACUGUUCCCAUGAACUGGAGUUCAUCUUUUUGUUCUUCUCUGCUCUAGACAACGGUUUCCUGUACUUCAAGCAGCUGCUUAUAUUUUAAGGUAUGCUUCUGAGUAGGUACUAAACAGCUGCAUUGCUGUUAAUGUUGUUAUCUCUUUUUUUAGCGGUGAAGGGACGGCUGUCUUGUUUUUUGGCCAAGUGUCUUAUUUACUCUUUAUUUCUUUGUGGAAGAACAACUUUAAUUCUUUGGAAAUGGACAUCCAUAGGGAAAGUGUGAUUUAUGGAGAUCAUACAAUUACUACUUGGUCAGUGAUGGUGCUUUUAUUGUAAUAAUUG